GCAAAGUCGAGCGCGAAAAGGGCAACCUGAGUAGAGCGGCGCACGGGUGCGUAACACGUGGGUAAUCUGCCUUUGGGUCGAGGAUAACCUUCCGAAAGGUUGGCUAAUACUCGGUAAGCUUACGGGGACUUUGGUCCUUGUGAGAAAAGUAGACCUCUAUUUAUAAGUUUACGCCCAGAGAUGAGCCCGCGGCCCAUCAGCUAGUUGGCGGGGUAACGGCCCACCAAGGCAACGACGGGUAGCUGGUCUGAGAGGACGAUCAGCCACACUGGAACUGAGACACGGUCCAGACUCCUACGGGAGGCAGCAGUGGGGAAUUUUCCACAAUGGGCGAAAGCCUGAUGGAGCAACGCCGCGUGUGUGAUGAAGGUCUUCGGAUCGUAAAGCACUUUCGACUGGGACGAAAAACCUUUGGCUAACAUCCAGGGGCCUGACGGUACCAGGAGAAGAAGCACCGGCUAACUCUGUGCCAGCAGCCGCGGUAAUACAGAGGGUGCAAGCGUUGUUCGGAAUUAUUGGGCGUAAAGCGCGUGUAGGCGGCUUUGCAAGUCAGAUGUGAAAGCCCUCGGCUUAACCGAGGAAGUGCGUCUGAAACUGCAGAGCUUGAGUCUCGGAGAGGAUGGCGGAAUUCCGCAAGUAGAGGUGAAAUUCGUAGAUAUGCGGAGGAACACCGGUGGCGAAGGCGGCCAUCUGGACGAGAACUGACGCUGAGACGCGAAAGCGUGGGGAGCAAACAGGAUUAGAUACCCUGGUAGUCCACGCUGUAAACGAUGAGAACUAGGUGUCGUGGGUGUUGACCCCCGCGGUGCCGCAGCUAACGCAUUAAGUUCUCCGCCUGGGGAAGUACGGCCGCAAGGCUAAAACUCAAAGGGAAUUGACGGGGGCCCGCACAAGCGGUGGAGCGUGUGGUUUAAUUCGACGCAACGCGCAGAACCUUACCCAGACUUUGACAUCCAUCAAAGUUGGCCCAAAAGUCGACGUGCCCCGCCAAGGGGAAAUGG
Molecule: ribosomal RNA, 1001 nt
Filed under: uncultured bacterium
Lineage: Bacteria
Description: bacterial SSU rRNA
Rfam family: Bacterial small subunit ribosomal RNA
Source: RNAcentral